Long non-coding RNA from Nicotiana attenuata, 1992 nucleotides. RefSeq lists it as uncharacterized. Lineage: Eukaryota; Viridiplantae; Streptophyta; Magnoliopsida; Solanales; Solanaceae. The transcript is spliced from 2 exons. The record is from RefSeq and is a predicted model, not a curated record.
GCACACUAGAUAAAGCCCAAUUAUUAUUAGCCCAAAGCCUACUCCACAAAGACUAUAGUCCAAUCUUAAUACAUUCCCAACGGCUGCCUCUUACCCCAUCUUCUCCUCCUCCUUUUUAGCAAAAUUUGUCCAUCGUCUCUUGAAAUCCAGAGCUUGUCACUCCAUUUUAAUACAAAUCCCAUCUCUCUCACAUGUGGUCUCCAUUUUCGAGCAAGUAGGACAAGCCAACAGAAAAUAGUCAAGCCAAAUCUUAACUCUUUUGUAAAAUAGCAAGGACGAAUCUCUGCCCACUCUGAAGCAAGCAAAGGAUUUGGUCAAAUUUUCUUCAAAAGAUCCAAAACUCUUCUCCAAACAAUAGCGAGGUUGCACUCUAUGGGUGAACUUUGACCGUGACUGAGAUACUCGAACUCGUUCAGCUCGAAGUUCGGAUCUGUUCAUGACGAGAGAGUAGAUUCGAGAUCAACGUUCCAAGUUCACUCCCCAAAAAUAGGUAAUAUCCGAUCCUAUUUCUAAUUCUCCUAUUUAGUCUAAAAUAUUCUCUUUACUUAGAAGAAUCAUUUCCUAGGCUUCUUUUUCUUUAUUUGUGCUAUAGUAUGUGAGUAAAAUAUUGACGCCAUGUGCAUUCUGUUUAACAUUUGAUUUAAUUGUAAAGCCACAGCAUGCUUUAGCUUUAAAACCUUAUUCUUGCCUUUAAUAAUCAGUAUUGCCGGUAUGUUUUCUUGACGUAUCAAGCUAAUGGCUUGGAUUUCAACUAUUAGAAACAUAAUCCUCCCAGGCUUAAUAAUUAUUUUAUUUACGUAUGUACUGAAAAAAAUAGAAAGUAUCCUCUGUUAAAUAUUAAUGUUCCUAUAUUCUUUUUUUUUUGUCACCUCAAAGGAAAAUUUUACUUUAAGUUUAUCCCAAUGUUCAGAUACCAUUUUUAGAGAAUCUUUAUCGUCAAAUGAGCUUUCUGAUGAACCUGCAUCAUGUUAAUAUGUUAUAGAUUCAUUUUCAUUCUGUCAUGUAAGGAAACAUGUUUAAAAAUUUACUACUAUCAUACUAGUCAAAACAUGAUUAUUGUAAAAUUAUAUCGAACUUUGGCUAGACUUGAACAUUGAGCUAGAGCUUUCUAGAUAUAUUGGUAGUAUUAUACUUUCAGAGGCAUAACAAAGACAUUCAAGGUUUACUUAAAUCAACUUGUAAGAGUUUUGUUUACAGAUCCAUGUGUUUCAUGUAUUAGGAACUAUACUUAGAAUUUUUACUUUGAGUCACUUAAAUACAGGCGCAAAAGAUCCACGGACCGAACAUUGUAUUUUCUUUAGUUAGAAAUCAUGUUUAUAGGAUAUUAUUGUUAUUAUAAACCAUGUUUACAUUAGGUGCCUAUCUCUUUGUCUGAUACAUAUUAUAUGGAUAACUAUUCUUGAAAUUUGAGGUGUCCUUCUUUUGGCUGCUCUCACUAAUCGUGUGCAUAGUUGAUUACUUCAAUCUGUUAAAGUACUUUAUUGCUCAUGUUUAGCUAAAUUUUAGAAAUAAAUACUUUAAGAAUGAAUGUGAUGUUGGAAUAUGAACAAUCCAUACUUUGUUAGACUCUUUUAUACACUAAGCAUGAGCAUAAUACCAUGAAUCCUUAUCUUUUGUUCUUAUACUUGUUAAGAGUUACAUUCUCUUCUCUAACUCAUUUUCUUUCUUCUUUUUACAUUGCAUGACACGUUGGAGCUGCAAGGAGUUCCAAUGUGGGACUCGAUGCUGCCGCUAGAUCUCGAACGCGCACCUUCCUCUUCAUCCUCCCUCAUCUAUUUCUUUUGCUCUCUCAAAUUGCAUCCGAACAGAAAAGUAAAAGAGAAGCGAGAGGAAGCAGAGGAUAUUCCCUUCCUUGCCAUGAUAAUUAGUUGUGUUUUGUUUUCAUCAUGCUUUGUUUAUCCUAACUCACCAAUUUUUACUUUUAGUUCUACUUGUUUUAUUAUUUUUAUGUAUGACGAUUUUGAUUUAAGAGGUGCUUCAGGUAUUUAAGUU